AGAGUUUGAUCCUGGCUCAGGAUGAACGCUAGCGGCGUGCCUUAUGCAUGCAAGUCGAACGGUCUUAAGCAAUUAAGAUAGUGGCGAACGGGUGAGUAACGCGUAAGUAACCUACCUCUAAGUGGGGGAUAGCUUCGGGAAACUGAAGGUAAUACCGCAUGUGGUGGGCCGACAUAUGUUGGUUCACUAAAGCCGUAAGGCGCUUGGUGAGGGGCUUGCGUCCGAUUAGCUAGUUGGUGGGGUAAUGGCCUACCAAGGCUUCGAUCGGUAGCUGGUCUGAGAGGAUGAUCAGCCACACUGGGACUGAGACACGGCCCAGACUCCUACGGGAGGCAGCAGCAAGGAAUCUUGGGCAAUGGGCGAAAGCCUGACCCAGCAACGCCGCGUGAGGGAUGAAGGCUUUCGGGUUGUAAACCUCUUUUCAUAGGGAAGAAUAAUGACGGUACCUGUGGAAUAAGCUUCGGCUAACUACGUGCCAGCAGCCGCGGUAAUACGUAGGAAGCAAGCGUUAUCCGGAUUUAUUGGGCGUAAAGUGAGCGUAGGUGGUCUUUCAAGUUGGAUGUGAAAUUUCCCGGCUUAACCGGGACGAGUCAUUCAAUACUGUUGGACUAGAGUACAGCAGGAGAAAACGGAAUUCCCGGUGUAGUGGUAAAAUGCGUAGAUAUCGGGAGGAACACCAGAGGCGAAGGCGGUUUUCUAGGUUGUCACUGACACUGAGGCUCGAAAGCGUGGGGAGCGAACAGAAUUAGAUACUCUGGUAGUCCACGCCUUAAACUAUGGACACUAGGUAUAGGGAGUAUCGACCCUCUCUGUGCCGAAGCUAACGCUUUAAGUGUCCCGCCUGGGGAGUACGGUCGCAAGGCUAAAACUCAAAGGAAUUGACGGGGGCCCGCACAAGCAGCGGAGCGUGUGGUUUAAUUCGAU
This 924-nucleotide ribosomal RNA is filed under the name soil metagenome. RNAcentral's name for it is "bacterial SSU rRNA". It matches the Rfam family "Bacterial small subunit ribosomal RNA", at positions 8 to 955 of the family's 1533-position model. The record is from RNAcentral.